UUACGGCCAUAUCACAUUGAAACACCAGUUCUCGUUUGGUCACUAAAGUUAAGCAAUGUUGAGCCUAGUCAGUAUUCAGAUGGGUAACUGCUUGGGAAUACUAGGUACU
Non-coding RNA from Acanthosepion pharaonis, 109 nucleotides. NCBI's taxonomy places the organism in Eukaryota, Metazoa, Mollusca, Cephalopoda, Sepiida, Sepiidae. The record is from the annotation of a GenBank genome assembly.